CAUUCAAUCAAAAUUUCAAAAGAAUUAUAUAAAAAAUACUAAGUAUUCCUAGAGAUCCUUUAAAGAAACAUAAAAAAUAAUAUAAAAAUUUAAAAAUAUAUUAAAAUAGAAAUCUUAAUAAAAUAUUAAAAUAAAAAACUUAAUUAAAUCUUAAUCAAAAUUUAAUCUAAUUCUAAUCAAAUUUUAUCUUAAUCCUAAUCAAACUCUAAAUAAAUCCUAAUCAAAUCCUAAAAAAAUCCUAAUCAAAUCCUAAUUGAUUUCUAAACAAACCUUAUCUAAACUCUAGUCAAAUCCUAAAUAAACCCAAACCAAAUCCUAAAUAAUCCCAAGUAAUUCAUAUAGUAGAUUUAAACCUCAACAACUAAUGAAUGAACAGUUGAUUUUAACUCAAAUUUUUUAUACCUCUUCAUAAUUAAGUUGACAACAAGCAAAGUUUUUUGAAGAAGAUCAAAUUCACCAAAAAAAAGAUCAAUCCUAAAAUCUACUUGGAUGUUGGACUAUCUUCUUCUCUAAUUUGAAUGUUGAAUUUUCAAGAUCAAUAUCUCUUUAUUGAACCAUUUAAUUGAUCUCA
RNAcentral lists this long non-coding RNA (571 nucleotides) under Physcomitrium patens. RNAcentral describes it as "long non-coding RNA (PPAT_LNC009153)". Lineage: Eukaryota; Viridiplantae; Streptophyta; Bryopsida; Funariales; Funariaceae. The record is from RNAcentral.